RNAcentral lists this ribosomal RNA (434 nucleotides) under uncultured archaeon. RNAcentral's name for it is "bacterial SSU rRNA". It matches the Rfam family "Archaeal small subunit ribosomal RNA", at positions 19 to 458 of the family's 1478-position model. The record is from RNAcentral.
GGACCUGACUGCUAUCGGAUUGAUACUAAGCCAUGCGAGUCAUUGUAGUAAUACAAGGCAGACGGCUCAGUAACGCGUAGUCAACCUACCCUAUGGACGGGGAUAACCUCGGGAAACUGAGAAUAAUACCCGAUAGAACGUUAUGCCUGGAAUGGUUUAUGUUUCAAAUAAUUUAUUGCCGUAGGAUGGGACUGCGGCCUAUCAGUUUGUUGGUGAGGUAAUGGCCCACCAAGACUAUUACAGGUACGGGCUCUGAGAGGAGUAGCCCGGAGAUGGGUACUGAGACACGGACCCAGGCCCUAUGGGGCGCAGCAGGCGAGAAAACUUUGCAAUGUGCGAAAGCACGACAAGGUUAAUCCGAGUGGUUUCUGCUAAAGGAACCUUUUGUCAGUCCUAGAAACACUGAUGAAUAAGGGGUGGGCAAGUUCUGGUGU